Molecule: ribosomal RNA, 417 nt
Filed under: uncultured archaeon
Lineage: Archaea
Description: partial 16S ribosomal RNA
Rfam family: Archaeal small subunit ribosomal RNA
Source: RNAcentral
CUACGGGUCGCUGCAGUCGCGAAACCUUUACAAUGCACGAAAGUGUGAUAGGGGGAUUUCGAGUGCUAGCUUUGCUAGCUUUUGCCAAACCUAAAUAGUUUGGCGAAUAGGUGGGGGGCAAGAUACGUGCCAGCCGCCGCGGUAACACGUACUCCGCAAGUGGUAUCCACUAAUAUUGGGCCUAAACGUCUGUAGCCGGUUUAAUAAGUCUUUGGUGAAAUCAUUGGGCUUAACUCAAUGAAUUGCCAAAGAUACUGUUAGACUCGAGGCCGGGAGACGCCAAGGGAAUUUCCGGGGUAACGGUGAAAUGUUAUGAUCCCGGAAAGACCACCAGUAGCGAAGGCGCUUGGCGAGAACGGACCUGACGGUGAGAGACGAAAGCUGGGGGAGCGACCCGGAUUAGAUACCCUAGUAGUC